AGUCGAGCGGUACAGGUGUAGCAAUACAUGCUGACGAGCGGCGGACGGGUGAGUAACGCUUGGGAAUCUGCCUGUUAGUGGGGGACAACCCGGGGAAACUCGGGCUAAUACCGCAUACGCACUACGGUGGAAAGCCGGGGACCGCAAGGCCUGGCGCUAACAGAUGAGCCCAAGUCGGAUUAGCUAGUUGGUAGGGUAACGGCCUACCAAGGCGACGAUCCGUAACUGGUCUGAGAGGACGACCAGUCACACCGGAACUGAGACACGGUCCGGACUCCUACGGGAGGCAGCAGUGGGGAAUAUUGGACAAUGGGCGAAAGCCUGAUCCAGCGACGCCGCGUGGGUGAAGAAGGCCUGCGGGUUGUAAAGCCCUUUCGGUGGGGAAGAAAAGCCUCGAGCUAAUACCUCGGGGUCUUGACGUAACCCAUAGAAGAAGCACCGGCUAACUCUGUGCCAGCAGCCGCGGUAAUACAGAGGGUGCGAGCGUUAAUCGGAAUUACUGGGCGUAAAGCGCGCGUAGGCGGCUUUGCAAGUCGGGUGUGAAAUCCCCAGGCUUAACCUGGGAACUGCAUUCGAGACUGCAUUGCUAGAGUAUGGGAGAGGGAAGUGGAAUUUCCGGUGUAGCGGUGAAAUGCGUAGAUAUCGGAAGGAACAUCAGUGGCGAAAGCGACUUCCUGGACCAAUACUGACGCUCAUGUGCGAAAGCGUGGGGAGCAAACAGGAUUAGAUACCCUGGUAGUCCACGCCAUAAACGAUGAGAACUGGAUGUCGGGAGGGUCUGCCUCUCGGUGUCGUAGCUAACGCGUUAAGUUCUC
RNAcentral lists this ribosomal RNA (815 nucleotides) under uncultured Gammaproteobacteria bacterium. RNAcentral's name for it is "bacterial SSU rRNA". It matches the Rfam family "Bacterial small subunit ribosomal RNA", at positions 60 to 869 of the family's 1533-position model. Lineage: Bacteria; Pseudomonadati; Pseudomonadota; Gammaproteobacteria. The record is from RNAcentral.